GAUGAACGCUGGCGGCGUGCCUAAUACAUGCAAGUCGAGCGAAUGGAUUAAGAGCUUGCUCUUAUGAAGUUAGCGGCGGACGGGUGAGUAACACGUGGGUAACCUGCCCAUAAGACUGGGAUAACUCCGGGAAACCGGGGCGAAUACCGGAUAACAUUUUGAACCGCAUGGUUCGAAAUUGAAAGGCGGCUUCGGCUGUCACUUAUGGAUGGACCCGCGUCGCAUUAGCUAGUUGGUGAGGUAACGGCUCACCAAGGCAACGAUGCGUAGCCGACCUGAGAGGGUGAUCGGCCACACUGGGACUGAGACACGGCCCAGACUCCUACGGGAGGCAGCAGUAGGGAAUCUUCCGCAAUGGACGAAAGUCUGACGGAGCAACGCCGCGUGAGUGAUGAAGGCUUUCGGGUCGUAAAACUCUGUUGUUAGGGAAGAACAAGUGCUAGUUGAAUAAGCUGGCACCUUGACGGUACCUAACCAGAAAGCCACGGCUAACUACGUG
This 499-nucleotide ribosomal RNA is filed under the name uncultured bacterium. RNAcentral's name for it is "partial 16S ribosomal RNA". It matches the Rfam family "Bacterial small subunit ribosomal RNA", at positions 28 to 507 of the family's 1533-position model. The record is from RNAcentral.